ACGAAGGGGGCUAGCGUUGCUCGGAAUGACUGGGCGUAAAGGGCGCGUAGGCGGAUUGUACAGUCAGACGUGAAAUUCCUGGGCUCAACCUGGGGGCUGCGUUUGAUACGUAUAGUCUUGAGUGAGGAAGAGGGUUGUGGAAUUCCCAGUGUAGAGGUGAAAUUCGUAGAUAUUGGGAAGAACACCGGUGGCGAAGGCGGCAACCUGGUCCUUUACUGACGCUGAGGCGCGAAAGCGUGGGGAGCAAACAGGAUUAGAUACCCUGGUAGUCCACGCUGUAAACGAUGUGUGCUGGAUGUUGGGUGACUUAGUCACGCAGUGUCGUAGCUAACGCGAUAAGCACACCGCCUGGGGAGUACGGCCGCAAGGUUG
Molecule: ribosomal RNA, 372 nt
Filed under: uncultured bacterium
Lineage: Bacteria
Description: bacterial SSU rRNA
Rfam family: Bacterial small subunit ribosomal RNA
Source: RNAcentral